This 469-nucleotide ribosomal RNA is filed under the name uncultured bacterium. Its description in RNAcentral is "bacterial SSU rRNA". It matches the Rfam family "Bacterial small subunit ribosomal RNA", at positions 1 to 524 of the family's 1533-position model. The record is from RNAcentral.
UAGAGUUUGAUCCUGGCUCAGAACGAACGCUGGCGGCAGGCUUAACACAUGCAAGUCGAGCGCCCCGCAAGGGGAGCGGCAGACGGGUGAGUAACGCGUGGGAAUCUACCCAGCUCUACGGAACAACUCCGGGAAACUGGAGCUAAUACCGUAUACGUCCUUCGGGAGAAAGAUUUAUCGGAGUUGGAUGAGCCCGCGUUGGAUUAGCUAGUUGGUGUGGUAAUGGCCUACCAAGGCGACGAUCCAUAGCUGGUCUGAGAGGAUGAUCAGCCACACUGGGACUGAGACACGGCCCAGACUCCUACGGGAGGCAGCAGUGGGGAAUAUUGGACAAUGGGCGAAAGCCUGAUCCAGCCAUGCCGCGUGAGUGAUGAAGGCCCUAGGGUUGUAAAGCUCUUUCACCGGUGAAGAUAAUGACGGUAACCGGAGAAGAAGCCCCGGCUAACUUCGUGCCAGCAGCCCCGGUCAA